UGACCCCAGCUCAGGUGAGAAUACCUACUAAUUUUAAGCAUAUAAUUAAGCGGAGGAAAAGAAACUUACAAGGAUUCCCCUAGUAACGACAAGCGAACCGGGAAGAGCCCAGCAUGAAAAUCGGGUGGCAGUGUCACCUGAAUUGUAGUUUGUAGAAGCGUCCUUAGCGAUGGACCGGGCCCAAGUCCCCUAGAAGGGGGUGCCUAAGAGGGUGAAAGCCCCGUCAGGUCGAGACCCUGCCGCACCAUGAGGCGUUGUCGACGAGUCGGGUUGUUUGGGAAUGCAGCCCUAAUCGGGUGGUAAAUUCCAUCCAAGGCUAAAUACGGGUGAGAGACCGAUAGAGAACAAGUACCGCGAGGGAAAGAUGAAAAGGAAUUUGAAAAGAGAGUUAAAGAGUGCUUGAAAUUACCGAGAGGGAAGCGGAUGGAGGUCGGUGAUGCAUCUCAUUCGGAUGCGGAAUGACUCAAGCUGGUCCACCGCUCGACUCAAGGUGCGAACCAGCACAUGCCGUUGCAUUGGCACAAGCGCGGGUGGAGUACUGCCUAUUGGUUUUCCAUUGUGGUUGUCGAGGAACGAAGAGUGCGCCCUUGGGGCGGGCCACUGUGCACCUGCACGCUCAUGGUGUUGGAUGGCGGGCUUUCCAUUCGACCCGUCUUGAAACAUGGACCAAGGAGUCUAACAUGUGUGCGAGUCGGUGGGUUUGUAAAACUGUGAGGCGUAAGGAAGCUGACAGGCGAGAACCCCUCUUCAUGGGGUGCAUUGCCGACCGACCUUGAGCUUGUGCGAAGCGUUCGAGUGCGAGCACACUUGUUGGGACCCGAAAGAUGGUGAACUAUGCCUGAGCAGGGCGAAGCCAAAGGAAACUCUGGUGGAGGCCCGUAGUGAUACUGACAUGCAAAUCGUUCAUCUGACUUGGGUAUAGGGGCGAAAGACUAAUUGAACCAUCUAGUAGCUGGUUUCCUCCAAAGUUUCCCUCAGGAUAGCUGGAGCUCACGUGCGAGUUUUAUCAAGUAAAGAAAAUGAUUAGAGGCAUCGGGGGCGUAACGCCCUUGACCUAUUCUCAAAAUUUAAAUAGGUAAGAUGGUGCGGCUGCUCCAUUGAGCCGUGCCACGGAAUCGAGAGCUCCAAGUGGGCCAUUUUUGGUAAACAGAACUGGCAAUGAGGGAUGAAUCGAAAGUCGAGUUACGGUGCCAAAUUGCACGCUAAAUCAAAUCCCACAAAGGGUGUUGGUUGAUUAAGACAGCAGGACGGUGGUCAUGGAAGUCGAAAUCUGCUAAGGAGUGUGUAACAACUCACCUACCGAAUCAACUAGCCCCGAAAAUGGAUGGCGCUGAAGCACACGACCUAUACUUGACCGUCGGAGCAAUUUCCAGGCUUCGAUGAGUAGGAGGACACGGGGGUCAUUGAGAAACCUUGGAUGUGAGCCUGG
Molecule: non-coding RNA, 1429 nt
Organism: Picea glauca (white spruce)
Lineage: Eukaryota; Viridiplantae; Streptophyta; Pinopsida; Pinales; Pinaceae
Source: Rfam